AUGCAUUUUGAUUGUGGCUCCUGCUUAUCUUUCUCCAUAUCCCUCUUCUCAGAAAAGAUGAAAAGAGAGAAGGAGAAUCCUCUGUGCAGCGCUUGGGAGGGUUCCGAACCAGAUAAUGGACCCAGCGAUGAGAAUGAAUUUCACGGACGCCAGAGGGUUAGAAGAGAGUUAAACCUGAACUGCAGAUGUUUGGAUGUGAGGAAUAUCGUAGUGUCGUCCCAUUUGAUAACUGGGCCACGGUCCUAUGCAGUAGAAGAAGUGGGGGAUGGGAUGGAGAUAGAGGAGAAGCUCACUUCCAAUCGCGUUCCUCUCCCAGUGAAAUCUCCUAGACAGCUCCAGAAUAACCCCUGCUGGGAGAGAUUUAACACGUCCAAUUCCAACUGUGCUCAGACGCAUUCCCAAACGGGCGUCGACGAUCCUCCACCUCAGAAGAAUAGAAAAGUUGCUCAAAGCAAAAAAUAUUUCUCACCACAAUCUGAACAAACAAACAUCAAACAACAGAGACUGAAGCAGCGACUUCUGCCACUGACCAGGUCCCAUUGGGGCCCAGCCUCUUCAUGUGUUUUGUGUGUAGAGCAGUCUGCAGAGGAACUAGCAGUGCCAUGGCGGUGUAGGGCGAUGGUGGCACAGAACCCUGAACCAUCUCGGCUCCCUUCCAGAAUCCUGCCAAACCUCCAAAACACAAUUAGAGCAUCUGGCUGUGAGAUACUGGAGCUGUGCCGACGUAUGUCCUCUAGGAUGAACUAUGUGAACCAUGUGAGCCCGACCACAUCUGGAACUGGAACUAGACCGGUGGGUUGGAGGUUGCUUGGGAAGCCCGUAGGGGACAGUGGAGCACAGGUGCGGGUCAGUCAACCAGAACACCCCUCCUGGAAUGUGAGAAAGUUCUCUGGGGCAUCAGUUGACAGCCACAGUCUCACCAGCCUUCUGCAUAAUAGUGAUUGUGGUUCUGGUGUAUCCAGGGGCAGCCAGACCCAGACACAUCUUCCAGAUACUGGGCUCUCUGGCUGUGCUAAAGACAGCAAAGGAGACAGCCAACAGCAUGGAUGGAAGGUCAGCAGAUCCAGGAGGGACCAGAGAGGUGGAGGUGGGGUUGGAAAAGGGAGACAGAUGCCCAGAGAAGAAUCCUUGCGGUGGGGUGAAGGAUCAACAUGGCCUUGGGACUCCGAGAGUCAGUCAAGGAACCAGCGGCAGAACGAGUCCCCAACAGACUGUGAUGUCACCCUACUGCACAUUGUGCAUCUUUUACAGUGUAGGUCAGUCAAUCUGUCUCAUGUCAGGGAAGAAGGACAAUUUGGAGAUGAUUUUCAACAUAUCCUUCACAACAGACAAACUUGACUCAAGCAAAUAGCAAGAUAUUUAGUAUUCAGAGUAGGUUAGUGAAUGGACAGGAGGAGCGAGCAAUCUUGAUAUAAUUAUUUUUUAUUCCAAGACUGUAAAUUGAAUUUUGUCUACAGUGUAAAAGGUCAUGAUAAAAAGACAAAGGAAUGAAAUAGAAGUUUGGUAAAACAACUGGGUGACCAGAAUAUCAACAACAUCCAUACAAACUGAUUCACUAUGCUAAAUAAUGACAAUGUAACAGUCUGACUUCAAACCAGGGAAGAACAAGAAGAAAAACCUGUCAUUUAAAAAAAAGAUCAGUAGCUAGGUUGCAUGAAACUCUUGUCUAUGGACCAAAAGUUUAACAAAAAGGUAUGAAUGUGUAGUUUAACAAAAAGGUAUGAAUGUGUAGUUUAACAAAAAGGUAUGAAUGUGUAGUUUAACAAAAAGGUAUGAAUGUGUAGUUUAACCAAAUGUAUGAGUAUGUAGUUUAAUCAAAUGUAUGAUUAUGUAGUGUAACCAAAUGUAUGAGUAUCUAGUGUAACCAAAUGUAUGAGUAUCUAGUGUAACCAAAUGUAUGAGUAUCUAGUGUAACCAAGCGUAUGAGUCUAGUGUAACCAAAUGUAUGAGUAUCUAGUGUAACCAAAUGUAUGAGUAUCUAGUGUAACCAAAUGUAUGAGUAUCUAGUGUAACCAAGCGUAUGAGUCUAGUUUAACCAAAUUUAUGAGUAUGUAGUGUAACCAAAUGUAUGAGUAUGUAGUGUAACCAAAUGUAUGAGUAUGUAGUGUAACCAAGUGUAUGAGUAUGUAGUUUAACUAAAUGUAUGAGUAUGUAGUGUGACAAAAAGUUCUGAGUAUGCAGUAGAGGUUGUAAUACAACAUAAAUAGAGAAAAUAUUAAAGUCAGAGUAUAAAAAAAUCAAAACAUAGUCAUGUGCACUUGUAUAACAUGGUAUAGCUAUGUUAAAGUAAUACUAGUCCAUUAACACAUGUACUGUACUUUUUGUGAACAAACACACACAUACAUACAGUGCACAACCAUAAGAAAAUAGACAGCCAUAAUGUCUGACAGAAGGAUACAGUAUGUAUACAUUUUAUACAAUUCACUUUUUCCAUCAUUUGAAUAUAAUAACACUAACCGUUAGGUCUUGCAAUGCACAUGUUAGCAGAUUUUACAAAUCCUGAAUGUUCUAGACAUAAUUACGUAUAUUUUCCAAGCAGCAGCGGUAUGGGCGGCCAUCUUGCCUGCGUUUCUGAGUCAAGCUUGAUUUUAAAGUGCUGCUGUUAUCAUGUUCCUGUGUUGUUGUGUCCUUUAUGAUAGUUCAGUGCUUUAGUGAUCAUUACAAAAAUAUAGAUUUCAGGGGCAACAUAAUGGGGACAUCAAUAUUAUGCUCUGCUCUUCUCUACUCAUGGGCAAAACAGUCAGAAAAUGAAUGUUAUUGCUCCUCUUAAAACUAUUUUCGCAUUGACUGGGGUUGGUCGAUCGAAUCGCAGCUUGCAUCCCAAAGUACAGUUUUAUUUCUGCACACUCUGAGGUGUCUUAGGACGAAAGACCCGUUUUAAAUUUCACCAGUGACAGAUGUGGUAUUGUUGAACCUCAGUUACAUACAUUAAUAUCUGAGAGAAUCAUAGUAAGACAAUGACGUUUCACCAUAACACAACAAAUCUCAAUAUUGGCCUGUGAGACAGUGACACAGUUCCCUGUCACAUGCGUUCAUAUGUAUCAACAAUAGACUUAAAGUAAUUACUAAACGAUUAGCGACAUUGUGCUCCAUUCACUAUAUCCCUUCCACACCAGAGAGAGCUGAAUAAAGAGAGAGUGAGAGAGAGAGCGAGAGAGAGAGAGGGAGAGAGAGAGAGAGAGAGAGAGAGAGAGAGAGAGAGAGAGGAGACACGCACGCUGACACACAGAUGACAACCAACCCCUCUUCGAGCUCCAAGUGAUGGCGUAUCAGCUUUAGGAACUGCCACAUGAAGCAACAUGAAUAAAAGUGAAGCAACAUGAAUAAAAAUGAAGCAACAUGAAUCAAAGUCUAACCAACAUCAUUGGUUUGCAUUUCUCAUAAUCUGGGGUUGAAAUAUAUGUCCCUGUAUGUGGCAACAGGGACAUUUUUGAAUCUACAAAUUCAACACAACAUACAGUAGGCUACAUUUGAGAAAAAUAAUGCUCCCUAGCUUCCCAUUAUUUAGGAUACUGAUAAUGUAACAAUGCUUAUUGUACACAAAAUAGAGUCCAAUGAUGAAAUAUAAUUUACAUGAAGCGAUGGCAGAAUGAAUAAGAACAUAUCUGACCAACAUUGUGGAAAAAAUGGAUCAGUCACUUCCAUGAUGAAGUCCUCUCUUCUACAGUAUAAAGUGGCAUCUGGAUCACAGCGUGUCAGCAUUUCUGCUUAUAAUGACAAGUCGAGUUAAUUCAAGUUGAAUCAGGUCAAUUUUCCUCAUUUAGGGAUUAAGUCCAAAAAUAGAUUCAAUAAAUGCAGUAAACACAUGGAGAAACACAGCAAAGAGCUUCCCAUCAAGCUAUUGAGGAGUUUUUUUACAUGACUGCGGCAUAGGAUAUGAUACAGGGACUGACAAGACAACAACACAGACAGACCUUAUACAGUAGCCGUACAUAAUGAGUUAG
This is a long non-coding RNA of Oncorhynchus mykiss (rainbow trout), 3944 nucleotides long. Lineage: Eukaryota; Metazoa; Chordata; Actinopteri; Salmoniformes; Salmonidae. The record is from Ensembl.